AAAUAUUGGGACAUAUAAAAAAAGACAACUUUGUUCCGCAGAGUAGCUGUUGACAUUAUAGUUGCGCAGGAACUUUGUUGACUCUAGAGAACCUCGGGCAAAUCGCACAUCCUCGUGGCGCCGACUUUGUCAUCCAUAUCAACUUUCGAUGCCAGUUUCUGCGCCUACUAUGGUGAACACGGGUAAUGGGGAAUCAGGGUUCCAUUCCGUACAGGGACCCUGAGAAAUGGCUACCACAUGCAAGGAUAGCAGCAGGCGCGCAAAUGACCCACUCCCGACGCGAGAAGGUAGUGAU
Non-coding RNA from Pelobates cultripes (western spadefoot toad), 295 nucleotides. The record is from the annotation of a GenBank genome assembly. Lineage: Eukaryota; Metazoa; Chordata; Amphibia; Anura; Pelobatidae.